This 4563-nucleotide ribosomal RNA is filed under the name Triticum aestivum (bread wheat). RNAcentral describes it as "partial small subunit ribosomal RNA". The record is from RNAcentral. Lineage: Eukaryota; Viridiplantae; Streptophyta; Magnoliopsida; Poales; Poaceae.
AUGGGAAAUCGGACUAGCAAAGACAAGAAUGCGGCUAAGGUCGAGGACCCAAAGAAAGCAAUCGAUUUGAACAAUAGCUCUGCAGCCCACGAGUCUGAUAUUCUUAGUAUUUCUAAAGAAGAGUAUGAGGACCGGUUCAGGGAUUGCAUUAUCGGCUUGAAGGAUAUAACUGACAUUGUUUUGAAGGCAGUGAGAGCUGCAGAAGCGGAAGCCAGAUCAGCGAAUGCUCCUGAGGAAGCUGUGAAAGCAGCAGGUGAUGCUGCUGCUGAGCUUGUGAAAUCUGCUGCUUUAGAGGUUUGGAAGAGUGAAAAUAGUGGCGAUGCCGUUGUAUUAGCUGCGGAGAAAGCUGCAGCUACUGUAGUCGAUGCUGCCAUGUCCACUAGCGUCUCAAGAAGCUCUGACCAGGUUAAUGAGGAGCAUGUUGUUGAAGAAGCUGUGAAAAUUAGUGAGGACCAGGAUCUGGAAGAUUUUGUUAUCAUUGACCAGGAGCAGCUCUUGCUACUUAGGGAAAAAUAUAGCAUUUUGUGCUUGCAGUAUCUGGGAGAGUACGUUGAAGCUUUGGGUCCUGUUCUUCAUGAAAAAGGUGUUGAUGUUUGCCUCGCAUUGCUGCAACGGGGAAUCAAAGACCAGGAGGGAUGUGGCCACGUUUCACUACUUCAUGAAAUUCUUAGAUUGAUUUGUGCCCUGGCCGCACACCGGAAAUUUGCUGCGCUAUUUGUUGACCGGGGUGGUAUUCAGAAGAUCCUCUCUGUCCCUAAGAUUACUCAGACAUAUACUGCUCUGUCGGCAUGCUUGUUUACUUUCGGUUCUCUCCAGUCUACCAUGGAACGUGUUUGUGCGCUUUCACCUGACACACUCAACAAUGUGGUUGAACUAGCGCUGCAACUCUUAGAAUGCCCACAAGAUGCAGCUAGAAAAAAUGCAGCCAUAUUCUUUGCUGCUGCAUUUGUGUUCAAAGCUGUUCUGGAUUCAUUUGAUGCACAGGAUGGGAUGCAAAAACUUCUGAAUAUAUUACAAGUUGCUGCAUCUGUAAGGUCGGGUGGUAACUCCGGAGCAUUAGGAUCCUCCAACGCGAAUCAAGGGAAUGACCGAUCACCUGCUGAAAUUCUGACUCAGUCAGAAAAGCAGGUCGCGUAUCAUUCAUGUGUUGCACUACGGCAAUAUUUUAGAGCUCAUCUCCUUCAGCUUGUUGAUUCCAUCCGGCCAAGCAAGAGUAUCCGUAGUAUUGCUCGGAAUACUUCCAGUGCAAGAGCUGGUUACAAACCUUUUGACAUCGGCAACGAGGCUAUGGAUGCUAUUUUUCGUCAGGUCCAGCGGGACAGAAAGUUAGGACCUGCUCUCGUAAGAGCUCGCUGGCCUGUGAUGGAUAAAUUCUUGGCCUCUAAUGGUCAUAUUAUCCUGCUAGAGUUAUGCCAGAGUCUACCUGCUGAUCGGUAUCUUCAUGACUUGGCUCAGUAUGCAUUUGGAGUUCUUCACAUUAUAACUCUUAUGCCACACAGCCGCAAAUUGAUGGUUCAUGCUACAUUAACUAACAACCGUAUUGGUAUGGCUGUUAUACUAGAUAUAGCAAACAGUGUUGUUGGCUAUGUUGAUCCUGAGGUGAUUUGUCCAGCAUUGAAUGUGCUUGUCAAUCUUGUAUGCCCCCCUCCAUCGAUCAGCAACAAGCCGUCCUCAGCUGUUAAUCAGCAACCUGCAGGAAGUUACUCAGAGAGCAGGGACAGGAAUGCUGAAAAAAGCACUUCGGAAAGAAAUGUUGCAGCGAACCAAAGUGAAUCUCGGGAACGAUAUGGUGAUGGCACACCUGUUGUGUCAUCUGGAGUUGUUGGUGACAAGAGAAUAUCGCUAGGCGUAGGAGCUGGGGGUCCUGGUCUUGCUGCUCAAUUGGAACAAGCUUAUCGCCAAGCUCGAGAAGUAGUCAGAGCCAAUAAUGGUAUAAAGAUUCUUUUGCAGCUUCUUGGCACUCGGAUGGUUACACAUCCUUUGGCUAUUGAUGCUAUUCGAGCACUUGCCUGUCGUGUACUGCUUGGCUUGGCUAGAGACGAUGCUAUUGCACAUAUACUGACGAAGCUCCAGGUAGGGAAGAAAUUAUCAGAACUAAUUCGUGAUACGAGUACCCAGUCAUCUGGAGGUGAUAAUGCAAGAUGGCUAAAUGAACUGACCCAAGUGGCAAUUGAGCUCAUUGCGGUCUUGACUAAUUCUGGUAAAGAAACAACCUUAGCAACUGAUGCUGCUGCUCCAGCAUUGAAGCGCAUUGAGCGAGCUGGCAUAGCAGCUGCUACUCCUGUCUCUUACCAUUCCAGGGAACUGAUGCAACUGAUACAUGAACAUCUCCUUGGAUCUGGUUUGGCUGCUACUGCUGCCAUGUUGCAGAAGGAGGCUGACCUUGCACCUUUGCCAUCAACUGCUGCAGUGCUACCUGUCCACCAGCCCGCUGCCCUGGAACCAUCAUCUGUUCAAGUUCAACAACAGUGGCCUUCUGGCCGUGUUCAGGGAUUUCUGUCCGACAAAACAAUGAUUGCUGCAGAUCAAGCUGGCCAACGAUCAGAUUCUGUUGUGCCUUCGUCUAAGAAGAAGGCACUGGUAUUCUCAUCCAGUUUCUCUAAACGAAAUCAACCCUUUGUUUCGUUUUCUGGUAAUAGAGCAAGCAAUAGCCUGAAAAGUCCUGUACCUGCCGGAAAUGUGGACAGUAUGACUUGCUCUGCCUCUGCUGCCAAUACUGGAGAUGUGGAGACAUCGCAUAAAACACCAAUUCCCUUGCCACUUAAGAGGAAGCUUGCGGAUAUGGAGUUUAGUUCUGCAUCAGCAGCAAAGCGCCCUGCAAUAAUGGAUCAAGCAUCCCAAUCUCCUGUGUUCCAAACUCCUGCUCCUACUCGCAGAGGCCUCUCUGUGGCAGUGGAUUCUCCUACUGCAGCAUUUCAUCCAGGAAGGACAAACUUCAACAACAUUUCCACUGAGAACUUUGAAGAUUCUCAAUGCACACCUGGAGUGGUAACAGGCACACCACAUCUUGGUGUAAAUGAUCAACAAACAGGAACUUCGGAGCGCAUGACACUCGACUCAUUGGUUGUACAAUAUUUGAAACAUCAACACCGCCAAUGUCCUGCUCCAAUAACAACUUUGCCGCCAGUCUCUCUGCUCCACCCUCAUGUUUGCCCUGAGCCUAGCCGCAGCAUUAGUGCACCAGCAAAUGUAACUGCUCGCAUGGGAAGCCGUGAGAUAAACAGGGAGUUUAGCGGGAUCAAAGUGCCCCGCAGGGAUCGCCAAUUUAUAUACAGCAGGUUCAAGCCAUGCCGUGUUUGCCGUGAUGAUGCCUCGCUGUUGACUUGCAUGACUUUUAUUGGAGGUGCAUCAAGGGUGGCGGCUGGGAAUCAUAGUGGUGAAUUAAGAAUAUUUGACAGCAACCUUGCAAAUCUCAUAGAGACGCACACUUGUCACCAAAAUCUUGUCACUAUGGUGGAUUCAACAUCUAUUGGUGGAACUGAGCUGAUUCUCUCAUCUAGCAUAGAUGAGGUUAAGCUCUUUGAUGCUUUCUCACUGCAUACGGGGCCUUUGCACACAUUUGAUAACUGCAAAGCUGCCAGGUUUAACCAUGCUGGGACUUUAUUUGCCUGCCUUUCUACGGAUGCAAAUCACCGGGCGGUUCUAUUGUAUGAUGUCCAGACGCAUAAUGUUGAUAUGCAGCUUCCUGAUAACUCCAGCCUGCCAGGUUCAGGCCGGGGUGUACAACCCAUUAUACAUUUCAGUCCUUCAGAUGAUAUGUUGCUGUGGAACGGGGUCCUGUGGGAUAGACGAAGUCCCACUCCUAUCCAUCAGUUUGACCAGUUCACAGACUAUUGUGGCGGUGGCUUUCAUCCAGCUGGAAAUGAGGUGAUCCUAAAUUCAGAGGUGUGGGAUCUGAGAAAGUUUAAGCUUCUGAGGAGUGUCCCAUCCCUGGACCAGACAGUAAUCAAAUUCAAUGGAAGUGGUGAUGUUAUCUAUGCCAUCCUCAGGCGUAACCUUGAGGAUGUAACGUCAUCCAUCCAAACCCGGAGGGUCAGACAUCCCCUGUUCCCUGCAUUCCGCACGAUCGAUGCCGUCACUUACGCAGACAUUGCAACCGUCCAAAUAGACCGUGGCGUCCUCGACCUUGCCACUGAGCCCAAUGAUUCCCUUCUCGGAGUUGUUGCCAUGGACGAUCCUGAUGAGAUGUUCUCCUCUGCUCGCAUAUUCGAAGUUGGCAGGAAACGGCCAACCGAUGAUGAUUCAGACCCGGAGGAUGGAGGGGACUCGGAGGAGGAUGAUGACGACGACGACGACUCGGACGUGGAUGUCCUCCUGGGGACCGAUUUAGGGCUCGGGGACACGGAUUCUGAGGAUGAUCCUAGUAACAGCAGCGGUGACGAUGGCGGUGACGAUGACGACGAGGAGGAUAUGGACAGCGGGGAUGAAAACGACGAUGAUGAUGAGGAAGGCGACUUUGAUGUGGGAGGGGGGUUGCUGGAGAUGAUGGGCGGCGGUGAGGGCGAUGAGAGUGACAUGAUCGAGUCCUUCAGCAGCGGUGAGGAAGAAGGGUGGCUCAUGUGA